This is a long non-coding RNA of Columba livia (rock pigeon), 4657 nucleotides long. RefSeq lists it as uncharacterized. The transcript is spliced from 3 exons. Lineage: Eukaryota; Metazoa; Chordata; Aves; Columbiformes; Columbidae. The record is from RefSeq and is a predicted model, not a curated record.
UGUCCUGAGGGGCCUCCGCCGCCGGGGCGGGGGCACGCGCCUGGCGAGCGGCGCGCCCACGUGACCGCGGUGCGCGCACGUGACCGCGCGGCCGGGAGCGCACGGCCUCGUGCCGCGGGCAGCGGCGGCGCCGCGGGCUGCGCGCGCCCCGCCCCGCUCCGCGCGCCCCUUGACCGCGCCCCGCCCCGCGCGGCCCCGCGCGCACACCCCCGCGCUCGCGCGUCGCCUCACACCAUGGACAGCGGCGCGCGCGGGGAGCGGGGCCGGCGCUCCCGCCACGGGACCUCCCGUGCGCCCUUCCCCGUGCGCCCUUCCCCGUGCGCCCUUCCCUUCCCCGUGCGCCCGAGCGGGGCGGGCGCUCCCGGGCCCGGGCUGGGGUGCAGGCCGAGCGGAGCGCGGCUUCGGCCGAGGCGAGGGCUGUCGGGAGCCUCGUGUGGGUCGCGCGCUGCCGGGUGUUCCCAACCCGCGGCAGCGCUGGGCGGGAAACGGGACGGUGUGGCGGGACCUGUCCGGUCCGCACGCCGCUGCUGCCUGAAACCUGAAUCUGUCGUAUUUGGCGUAAUUUCUGAAGGUGAGCAGUCGCCCAAAGGCAGAUGUGCGACGUGUUUCUGGUGGGCCUCCCGCUGGACAGGCUCCCCAGGGAGGUGUCACGGCCCAACCUGACAGUGUUCAACAAGAGACUGGACAACAUCCUCAGACACACGGGGUGACCUGUGGGGUGUCCUGUGCAGGGACAGGAGCUGGACCCCAUGGUCCUGUGGGUCCUUCCAACUCAGGACGUUCUAUGAUUCUGUGAUUCUAGGUACGUGUCCCACACAUCCACACCACAGACACGUCAUCGACAUCCCAGGUGGCGUUUCGGAGCCGUAACGCGGAUCAUGACAAGACUCCACAUGCGCUUCCUCCUUGAUCCACCCAUCAAAAGUACUGCCUUACGCCUUCUUUGCAAGCAGAAUGGAAAACUGGACUGGCAACGGGAGCUCUGCAAACACAUUGAGUCAUGACAUGAAAUUCUCCAUGUACCUACAACAACAGAACGAGAGACCUUCCCAGAGCCUUGACUGUCUGCCCACGGAGGUCAUCACUUUGCUGCUCAAGGGAAGGUGAAUUUUACUGCUGCAAAAUGUGUCUCACCUUCUUCUGCCUCUUCAUUGAACAUGCCCGACCAAAUAUAUCUAUGAUAUAUAGUGAUUUAAGUCAGGAAGGAAUUAAAGCUCCUGUUCUUGCCACAUGAUUGAGUGCUUGCAGACACAGAUUCCUACGAAAGUAUAAUAAAGUACAUUAGCAGAGUAUUUGUGCCUUCAUAGGAAAUGAAUAUGGAUGUAAUUAACGAAAGCUGAUUUAUGUGGAACUGUAAAACCAGGUACAUAAAAUGAAAAAUUCUCUGUGAAUGUUAAGGCAGUGUUUUGUGGUGGCCAAAACAAGGCACGUAGAGUAUUGCAAUGGUACUAAGAAAGGAACUGAAAACUAAAAUGCCACUGUAUAAAUCCCUAGUACGUGGAUAUUUAAGAUGUUGUAUGGAGUUCGAGGCACCUGAUCUCUAGAGAUUAUAGUAGAACUGUUGUUCUACCAUAGUCUGCUACUAACGUUUUGAGAAUAGCAAUGUGUGGUGUGGCUUCUGUCUGAGGAAAUUGAAAGUGACAAGACUGACUAUGAUGAGGGGAUAACUAGGGUCUAUCAAAUAAUAAUGAAAGGCAAACGGGAAAAAUUUAAAAAACAAUCAAAUCCUUAGAAAACACAAGGAAUCAUUAAAUGGUCCAGACCUUGACCUCUGUCUCCACAAGACACUGUAUUGCUGACUGUUGGUGUAUUUGGGCACAGAUCAUACUGGCCGUGUUUCUUAGUUUCUUUCGUUCUGCGUCCAUUUUGAGCACUGUAGGAGACAGUACAGCCAUUCCUGCGUAACUUCCUUCUCGCAUCAUAAGCCAUUCUUCCUCUACGUGUUCUUUUCAACUUUUUGGGUUUGUGUUAAGAAUUUACAUAAGUGGUCUUCAAAUACAAAGAGGCUUGAUUAAAAAAAGCUGAGAACAAAUUCAAGCAACUCAAAGAGUUUACGUUCAAAAAAGUAAAAAGCAGUUUAAGCAGCACUAAGGGAUGGCUAUUUCAUCCCAUUAUUUGCUAAAAAGAGAACAGCUUUAUUAAAGAACGACCUCUAUUAGAGCUUUGAACACCGGUCACAGUAUUAUAUUCAUUUUUGAUGAGCUCUCACAGCAGUGCAUGCAAGAGAAAGGUCAGCGACAGAAUGCAGCCUUAGAGCUUGUUUUGGCAAUGUUUUCCUCUGUACAGAGCACAGCUGGAGCACCGGUGAGGUUCUGCGGUGCCACACCUGAGUGCUCCAAGACAGGGAAUACUUUAGAACCAGAUGCGUUUAGUCACCUCAGCGGAGGAACUCCUUGGAAAGAAAGUACUGCAGGCUGAGAUGUAUGUGGGAAAGGAAGAAAGGAAGGAGAGGUUAUUUAAGCCAGUUCUGGGCAAAGAUUCAGUUUAUUUUUUUCCUAACAGCAUUAACAGAAUGCUGUUUUAUGAUUCUCCCUUUACAAGUGCACAGAGGGGCAAACGCACAAACAGCAGCUCCUUCUUCUGAGCCUCAGGCUUUUAAAAUUUACUGUAAGACAAAUUUUGAAAGUCCAUUCGCAAGUUAUCUGCAGUCCAGCCCCCUUUCUUUUUUUUUGAAGAAAUAUAUAGUCCUUUUGGUAGGGAAAAAAAAACACAAAUAGGUGUUUUUAAUGGUAUGUAUUGUGAAAUAUAUGUGUGUGUGUGUAUCUAUUCCACUAACACAAGGAAAGCCUGCAUGUUGUUAUUUCUGGCUCCUUCCCCUGGACCCGUGUAUUCGUUCCCUUCAGUAGUGCUGCCCACAAGUACCUUGGUGCAGGCUGUUGAAAUUAGUUUCACUCUUGUGACCUUUUGUGUCAAGAAGUAUUGUAGAGUAUCCACUUAUGUCCUGAUACAAAGCACUUCAUUGCCUUAUAGCUCCUCUUUCUCGAUAACUUACAUACAUACCAUCACCUUUCAUAAUAAUUAAAAAUAUUACCUAUUUAUCUAAAAACCGAAUAUAGUGUUUCAAACUUUCACAUGCUGGAGCAUACAAAAUACGCCACAUAGUAUGAUCCUAAUUUAUAUGUAAAAGCACCUUCCUUGAAACACAAUCUCAUAAAUAGAUCAGUGAAGGAAAUUUACCAAGUAAUUUUCAUAAUUAAAAAGUAGGCAUGCACAUUCUAAAAGCUAAACCCUAACUCACAGCCAUUAGAUCAUGAAUAACCAAUACAAUGGACUUCAGUUAUAUAUCAUUAUAUAGAAGUCUGAGAAAAAUAUGAUCUUGCUGAUGCACAAUUUGUAUUCUAGCAAAUGGUUUUCAGUAGCAUGUACAUUUGAAUAAAUGUCUAAUACCCUCGCUAUUUGGUCAUUAAAAACCCUGUACCUAUUUUCAACUUAAAAUGUUUAUUUUAGCCAUGAAACCUCCCAGUGAAACCUAAAUAGAUGAAAUCUAUUCACUGGAGAUUUCAGUGGCCCUUAAUACCCAGAGAUUUAUUUCUGUAUAAAUUAUUAGAUCCGAUUAGCCUGCACCAAAUGAAAUUAUAUAUAAUGUGCUGGAAAAGUACAGGCAAAUGUCACAAAAUGUACAGUUAAGUCACUGUAAUCCAGUUACAGGUAGAUUCAAAACCUAGCUACAUUUUUAAAUUAUUUUAAAGCAAAUUAAAUAUGAAACAUUUGCUCUGAAUACUCAGAAUAAAGAAAAAUAUCAGAAUCUGUACAACUUUGGUAAAGAACAAGCAAAUAUCUCUAAAAUAGUUCACUAGAAAAUAACCUUUGGUUUUAAAGUUAAUUAAUUUUUGUCACUGACUGUGGUAAAUAACUAUCUCAAAUAUGAAUUUAUCAUUUAUCUACAGACUUUCUGGUGUUUGGUUAUUUUUUAAUUUUAUUUUAUUUUAUUUAAAUUAACAGCUCUACCUAGUGUACUAAAGGAAUGCAGACAAACAGGAGCCAAACAGUUGUAAUUUUUAAUACAGUUGUUGCUUUACCUCUCCUACCAUUGAUAUUCUGAUACAGGUACCCACAGAACUAUACCCACACCCCUCAAAAAAUGAGGAGUUUUUUUAAUAUAUAAAAAACCAUUAUCAAAAUAAUUUAAAAUUCCAGCUUGGUUCUUCCCCCCUCACUCCAAGUGUGUAUUUGGUUGCAAGGGCUUCAUGAUUUCUGAGUUCUGGUUAUACCAAAGAGUGAAAAAAACAAUGGUAUUCCUCUGAGUUUCAUUCAUUGGGAUCUGGAACAAAUACAGAUUUUAUGUUGCAAACUGUUAUUUGACAUAUGAAAAAUUUCUCAGAAGUCUUCAGGGAGGUGAAUGGGGUCUUCUGGCACCCUGAAGUUGGGUGAGAUGUCACACUCCUGGUUUUACUCUAAAAAUGUUUUGUUUCUAAAUAAAAUAGGAAAAGGGAAUCAUCUGCUUCUGGACAAACACACAGAAUACAAAAUUAUUCCACACUUAUGAUUCUGUUUUUUAUCCAAAGAACAUCCUUGCCAAUCUAGGAACAGUUUUACAAAGAACAAAUCACUGUACUCAUCUGUAUUUCCUCUUAAACUGCACAAGCUAUCAUCAGAUCUGUAGAAACCCUUCUAUAUAUCUGUUUUAAGCCACACGUACAUAUGCGCUGAGGAAAGA